This 208-nucleotide long non-coding RNA is filed under the name Mytilus galloprovincialis (Mediterranean mussel). The record is from RNAcentral. Lineage: Eukaryota; Metazoa; Mollusca; Bivalvia; Mytilida; Mytilidae.
UUCAAAUAUAUUUUAUUGCUAAUCAAAGCGCCCACAAGGAGCAGAACAAUCAACAUUAAUUACAUACAAAUGAUUACAAGUGAUUCAAUAUGAUUAAGACACAAUGUUAUAAAAAAACAAAAAAAAACAAAAACAACGAAACCAAAAAAUAUUUAUUAAGACAAGUACAAGAAUACAACAAGCACAGUGUUUAAUAAUAUAAGGGGGG